AUGGAGACACCAAAGGUUGGCCACUCGUCUUCUCGCCUGCAACACCGCCACACCCGAAGUGUUGCAAGCACACAUGGAAAUCUAUCGGACAUAACACCGCGAUUCUCGUAUAACAAACCUACAACCAAUCAGGAUAAUAUUCCCCAUAGGAGAUACUCACUUAACCUAGCAGAGCAGUUUCAAGACCACCCCAUGAUUACUACAGCAGAACCAAAUGAAAAGGCUAUGUCGAAGCCCGUUGCAGAAUUGGUUUGGGAGAUAGCAGCCCUUGAGGAGGAAGUCGUACGGAGGGAACUGCAUUUGCUUUCGCUCUACAGGGCGACAUUUGAUCAAUACCUGGGCAUCUCCCCUCGUGUUUCUGGUCAGAUGGGUCAAGAAACGCACCGUCAAGGCAGCAGAAAGAAAGUUGAUGAAGGUGCUCUCCGGUUGAGAGAUAUCAAGGAGUCAGCAUCCUACAACUUGCCAACAGUUUCAGAUCGUAGACAUUAUUCACAGGGACUGCCAAGAUCAACUUCAGGGCAUUCUUGUCUUGCAAAUUUCUUGAGUGCUUCUAUUGCUGAAUAUGUGCCCAGGAUUGCAUGCAAGCUUUCGGAGGACAUUCUAAGAUGCAUUUCCGCGGUGUACUGCAAACUCGCGAGCAGCCCAUCACAGGAUGUUGAUUCCGAGACUUUGUCAACUCCUUCCUUCUCUUCUGCAUCGAGUACCUUUUCCCUAAAGCACCGUGUCGAUAGUUGGAGCCCCCGACUCAGCUGCAAUGUUGACGCAAGCUCUGAAAAAUAUGGUACAUUGAAUGAGAAUAAUGACCAGUACAGUGGCAUGAUAAUUUUUCCAAGGAUAAAUAUUGAUGCAGACAAGUUCGAUUAUGCCUCUAAAAUGCUUGAAACAAUCAGAGCAUUGAUAAAGCGGCUUGAGAAAAUCGACCCUACAAAGAUGGCACAUGAGGAGCAGCUCUGUUUUUGGAUCAACAUCCACAACGCUUUAGUGAUGCAUGCUUUUAUGGCUUAUGGACUUCAGGACAAACGCAUGAAAAGCUCAGACAUGAUUCUGAAGGCUGCAUAUGACGUGGGCGGGCAUUCAGUAAACUCCCAAAUUAUUCAGAACUCAAUUCUUGGAUGUCAAUCCCAUCGUCCUUCCCUGUGGGUUCGCACGCUAUUUACUCCCACGAAGAAAUCAGCAUCAGGAAGCUCCACUCAUCCAUAUGCUCUUCGUCAGCCAGAGCCGCUUGCUCACUUUAGUCUUUCCACUGGAGCAUUUUCAGAUCCACCUGUAAGGUUGUACACAGCCAAGAAACUGGAUCAUCAACUGGAUCAAGCCAAGACUGAGUUUAUUAGAGCUAAUGUCAUGGUCAGGAAGCAGAUCAUUUUUCUUCCCAAAAUUCUCCACUACUAUGCAAAGGAUGCUACACUGGAGUUGCCUGGUCUGAUUGAGAUGGUAUGCAAGAGUAUGCCUGAAGCCCAGCAAAAAGAAAUAAAUAAAUGUCUUAGGAGGAGGAUAGAUAAGUGUGUUGAAUGGUUGCCCUAUAAGUCUUCUUUCAGAUACACUGUACACAGGAAUUUGGCUGAGUAG
This 1566-nucleotide ribosomal RNA is filed under the name Triticum aestivum (bread wheat). Its description in RNAcentral is "partial small subunit ribosomal RNA". Lineage: Eukaryota; Viridiplantae; Streptophyta; Magnoliopsida; Poales; Poaceae. The record is from RNAcentral.